GACGAACGCUGGCGGCGUGCUUAACACAUGCAAGUCGAACGGAAAGGCCCUGCUUUUGUGGGGUGCUCGAGUGGCGAACGGGUGAGUAACACGUGAGUAACCUGCCCUUGACUUUGGGAUAACUUCAGGAAACUGGGGCUAAUACCGGAUAGGAGCUCCUGCUGCAUGGUGGGGGUUGGAAAGUUUCGGCGGUUGGGGAUGGACUCGCGGCUUAUCAGCUUGUUGGUGGGGUAGUGGCUUACCAGGGCUUUGACGGGUAGCCGGCCUGAGAGGGUGACCGGCCACAUUGGGACUGAGAUACGGCCCAGACUCCUACGGGAGGCAGCAGUGGGGAAUAUUGCACAAUGGGCGGAAGCCUGAUGCAGCAACGCCGCGUGCGGGAUGACGGCCUUCGGGUUGUAAACCGCUUUCGCCUGUGACGAAGCGUGAGUGACGGUAAUGGGUAAAGAAGCACCGGCUAACUACGUGCCAGCAGCCGCGGUGAUACGUAGGGUGCGAGCGUUGUCCGGAUUUAUUGGGCGUAAAGGGCUCGUAGGUGGUUGAUCGCGUCGGAAGUGUAAUCUUGGGGCUUAACCCUGAGCGUGCUUUCGAUACGGGUUGACUUGAGGAAGGUAGGGGAGAAUGGAAUUCCUGGUGGAGCGGUGGAAUGCGCAGAUAUCAGGAGGAACACCAGUGGCGAAGGCGGUUCUCUGGGCCUUUCCUGACGCUGAGGAGCGAAAGCGUGGGGAGCGAACAGGCUUAGAUACCCUGGUAGUCCACGCUGUAAACGGUGGGUACUAGGUGUGGGGUCCAUUCCACGGGUUCCGUGCCGUAGCUAACGCUUUAAGUACCCCGCCUGGGGAGUACGGCCGCAAGGCUAAAACUCAAAGGAAUUGACGGGGCCCCGCACAAGCGGCGGAGCAUGCGGAUUAAUUCGAUGCAACGCGUAGAACCUUACCUGGGUUUGACAUGGAUCGGGAGUGCUCAGAGAUGGGUGUGCCUCUUUUGGGGUCGGUUCACAGGUGGUGCAUGGCUGUCGUCAGCUCGUGUCGUGAGAUGUUGGGUUAAGUCCCGCAACGAGCGCAACCCUUGUUCACUGUUGCCAGCACGUUAUGGUGGGGACUCAGUGGAGACCGCCGGGGUCAACUCGGAGGAAGGUGGGGAUGACGUCAAGUCAUCAUGCCCCUUAUGUCCAGGGCUUCACGCAUGCUACAAUGGCUGGUACAGGGAGUGGCGAGCCUGUGAGGGUGAGCGAAUCUCGGAAAGCCGGUCUCAGUUCGGAUUGGGGUCUGCAACUCGACCUCAUGAAGUCGGAGUCGCUAGUAAUCGCAGAUCAGCAACGCUGCGGUGAAUACGUAUCCCGGGGCU
This 1347-nucleotide ribosomal RNA is filed under the name uncultured bacterium. RNAcentral describes it as "partial 16S ribosomal RNA". It matches the Rfam family "Bacterial small subunit ribosomal RNA", at positions 28 to 1381 of the family's 1533-position model. The record is from RNAcentral.